Molecule: ribosomal RNA, 1100 nt
Filed under: Leucodecton anamalaiense
Lineage: Eukaryota; Fungi; Ascomycota; Lecanoromycetes; Ostropales; Graphidaceae
Description: eukaryotic LSU rRNA
Rfam family: Eukaryotic large subunit ribosomal RNA
Source: RNAcentral
UGGGAGGUGAGAGCGCAACAGCUCAAAUUGGGGAUCUGGUCUUUUUGACCCGAAUUGUAAUUUGGAGAAGGUGCUUCGGAUUAGAUUAAGGUCCAAGUCUCCAGGAAUGGAGCAUCAUAGAGGGUGAUAAUCCCGUAUCAGCCGAGAUAUCUGUCCGUGUGAAGCCCUUUCAACGAGUCGAGUUGUUUGGGAAUGCAGCUCUAAGUGGGAGGUAAAUUUCUUCUAAAGCUAAAUAUCAGCCAGAGACCGAUAGCGAACAAGUAGAGUGAUCGAAAGAUGAAAAGCACUUUGAAAAGAGAGUUAAAAAGCACGUGAAAUUGUUGAAAGGGAAGCGCAUGCUACCAGACUUGUUCUUGUUGUUCAGCUACCUGAAAAGGUGGUGCAUUCUUCACGAACAGGCCAACAUCGGUUUCGAGGGUUGGAUAAAAACUCGAGGAAAGUAGCUUUCUUCGGAAAGUGUUAUAGCCUGAGUAUAACGCAGCCACUCGAGACCGAGGAACGCGCUUUGCGAGGAUGUUGGCAUAAUGGUCGUUUGCGACCCGUCUUGAAACACGGACCAAGGAGUCGACCAAUGGCGCGAGCAUUUGGGUAUAAAACCCUUUUGCAUAAUGAAAGUGAACGUUAGUAGGAACCUUUUAGGUGCACUAUUGACCGACCUAAACUUUGUGAGGGUUUGAGUAAGAGCGUUUUUGGUCGGACCCGAAAGGCAAGUCCUCUCAAACUAGUAGUUUCUUUGAAGAUAUAUAUACUAACAGGUUUAUAGAAGGUGAACUAUUCCUGACUAGGGUGAAGCCAGGGGAAACCCUGGUGGAGGCUCGCAGCGGUUCUGACGUGCAAAUCGAUCGUCAAAGCUGGGAAUAGGGGCGAAAGACUAAUCGAACCUUUCUAGUAGCUGGUUCCUGUCGAAGUUUCCCUCAGGAUAGCAGUAACGAUAACAGUCUCAUGAGGUAGAGCAACGAUUGGAGGCAUGGGGGAAGAAACUUCCUUCACCUACUCUCGAACUCCGAAUAUGUGAGAAGUCCUUGUUACUUAAUUGAACGUGGACAUUUGGAUGUGCGACACUACCCCCGGCAUUUUUGGUAAGCAAGAACCUGGCCGAC